ACCCAGCUGACGAGUCCCAAAUAGAUGGAAACGCGCGUCCUGGAU
Molecule: non-coding RNA, 45 nt
Organism: Schistosoma haematobium
Lineage: Eukaryota; Metazoa; Platyhelminthes; Trematoda; Strigeidida; Schistosomatidae
Source: Rfam